RNAcentral lists this ribosomal RNA (573 nucleotides) under uncultured bacterium. Its description in RNAcentral is "partial 16S ribosomal RNA". It matches the Rfam family "Bacterial small subunit ribosomal RNA", at positions 355 to 923 of the family's 1533-position model. The record is from RNAcentral.
UGGGGAAUUUUGGACAAUGGGCGAAAGCCUGAUCCAGCAAUGCCGCGUGUGUGAAGAAGGCCUUCGGGUUGUAAAGCACUUUUGUCCGGAAAGAAAUCCUUGGCUCUAAUACAGUCGGGGGAUGACGGUACCGGAAGAAUAAGCACCGGCUAACUACGUGCCAGCAGCCGCGGUAAUACGUAGGGUGCAAGCGUUAAUCGGAAUUACUGGGCGUAAAGCGUGCGCAGGCGGUUUGCUAAGACCGAUGUGAAAUCCCCGGGCUCAACCUGGGAACUGCAUUGGUGACUGGCAGGCUAGAGUAUGGCAGAGGGGGGUAGAAUUCCACGUGUAGCAGUGAAAUGCGUAGAGAUGUGGAGGAAUACCGAUGGCGAAGGCAGCCCCCUGGGCCAAUACUGACGCUCAUGCACGAAAGCGUGGGGAGCAAACAGGAUUAGAUACCCUGGUAGUCCACGCCCUAAACGAUGUCAACUAGUUGUUGGGGAUCAUUCCUUAGUAACGUAGCUAACGCGUGAAGUUGACCGCCUGGGGAGUACGGUCGCAAGAUUAAAACUUAAAUGAAUUGACGGGGUCAUA